Molecule: transfer RNA, 68 nt
Filed under: Neojurtina typica
Lineage: Eukaryota; Metazoa; Arthropoda; Insecta; Hemiptera; Pentatomidae
Description: tRNA-Leu
Source: RNAcentral
UCUAAUAUGGCAGAUUAGUGCAAUGAAUUUAAGCUUCAUAAAUAAAGGAUAUUAACCUUUUAUUAGAA